GCAUGCAAGUCGACGCUUCUUUUUCCACCGGAGCUUGCUCCACCGGAAAAAGAAGAGUGGCGAACGGGUGAGUAACACGUGGGUAACCUGCCCAUCAGAAGGGGAUAACACUUGGAAACAGGUGCUAAUACCGUAUAACAAUCAAAACCGCAUGGUUUUGAUUUGAAAGGCGCUUUCGGGUGUCGCUGAUGGAUGGACCCGCGGUGCAUUAGCUAGUUGGUGAGGUAACGGCUCACCAAGGCCACGAUGCAUAGCCGACCUGAGAGGGUGAUCGGCCACAUUGGGACUGAGACACGGCCCAAACUCCUACGGGAGGCAGCAGUAGGGAAUCUUCGGCAAUGGACGAAAGUCUGACCGAGCAACGCCGCGUGAGUGAAGAAGGUUUUCGGAUCGUAAAACUCUGUUGUUAGAGAAGAACAAGGAUGAGAGUAACUGUCAUCCCUG
This 444-nucleotide ribosomal RNA is filed under the name Enterococcus faecium. RNAcentral describes it as "bacterial SSU rRNA". It matches the Rfam family "Bacterial small subunit ribosomal RNA", at positions 53 to 470 of the family's 1533-position model. The record is from RNAcentral. Lineage: Bacteria; Bacillati; Bacillota; Bacilli; Lactobacillales; Enterococcaceae.